GACGAACGCUGGCGGCGUGCCUAAUACAUGCAAGUCGAACGCACGAAGUUGAAGAGCUUGCUCUUUAACCAAGUGAGUGGCGGACGGGUGAGUAACACGUGGGUAACCUGCCCAUUAGAGGGGGAUAACAUUCGGAAACGGAUGCUAAUACCGCAUAGUUUCAGGGAUCGCAUGAUUCUUGAAGGAAAGGUGGCUUCGGCUACCACUAAUGGAUGGACCCGCGGCGUAUUAGCUAGUUGGUGAGGUAAUGGCUCACCAAGGCAAUGAUACGUAGCCGACCUGAGAGGGUGAUCGGCCACACUGGGACUGAGACACGGCCCAGACUCCUACGGGAGGCAGCAGUAGGGAAUCUUCCGCAAUGGACGAAAGUCUGACGGAGCAACGCCGCGUGAGUGAAGAAGGUUUUCGGAUCGUAAAACUCUGUUGUUAAAGAAGAACAAGGAUGAGAGUAACUGCUCAUCCCCUGACGGUAUUUAACCAGAAAGCCACGGCUAACUACGUGCCAGCAGCCGCGGUAAUACGUAGGUGGCAAGCGUUGUCCGGAUUUAUUGGGCGUAAAGCGAGCGCAGGCGGUUCUUUAAGUCUGAUGUGAAAGCCCCCGGCUCAACCGGGGAGGGUCAUUGGAAACUGGAGAACUUGAGUGCAGAAGAGGAGAGUGGAAUUCCACGUGUAGCGGUGAAAUGCGUAGAUAUGUGGAGGAACACCAGUGGCGAAAGCGACUCUCUGGUCUGUAACUGACGCUGAGGCUCGAAAGCGUGGGGAGCAAACAGG
Molecule: ribosomal RNA, 771 nt
Filed under: uncultured Vagococcus sp.
Lineage: Bacteria; Bacillati; Bacillota; Bacilli; Lactobacillales; Enterococcaceae
Description: bacterial SSU rRNA
Rfam family: Bacterial small subunit ribosomal RNA
Source: RNAcentral